This 497-nucleotide ribosomal RNA is filed under the name uncultured bacterium. RNAcentral's name for it is "partial 16S ribosomal RNA". It matches the Rfam family "Bacterial small subunit ribosomal RNA", at positions 28 to 507 of the family's 1533-position model. The record is from RNAcentral.
GAUGAACGCUGGCGGCGUGCCUAAUACAUGCCAGUCGAGCGAACAGACGAGGAGCUUGCUCCUCUGACGUUAGCGGCGGACGGGUGAGUAACACCUGGAUAACCUACCUAUAAGACUGGGAUAACUUCGGGAAACCGGAGCUAAUACCGGAUAAUAUAUUGAACCGCAUGGUUCAAUAGUGAAAGACGGUUUUGCUGUCACUUAUAGAUGGAUCCGCGCCGCAUUAGCUAGUUGGUAAGGUAACGGCUUACCAAGGCGACGAUGCGUAGCCGACCUGAGAGGGUGAUCGGCCACACUGGAACUGAGACACGGUCCAGACUCCUACGGGAGGCAGCAGUAGGGAAUCUUCCGCAAUGGGCGAAAGCUUGACGGAGCAACGCCGCGUGAGUGAUGAAGGUCUUCGGAUCGUAAAACUCUGUUAUUAGGGAAGAACAAAUGUGUAAGUAACUAUGCACGUCUUGACGGUACCUAAUCAGAAAGCCACGGCUAACUACGUG